This 445-nucleotide ribosomal RNA is filed under the name uncultured bacterium. RNAcentral describes it as "partial 16S ribosomal RNA". It matches the Rfam family "Bacterial small subunit ribosomal RNA", at positions 354 to 796 of the family's 1533-position model. The record is from RNAcentral.
GUGAGGAAUAUUGGUCAAUGGGCGAGAGCCUGAACCAGUCAAGUAGCGUGAGGGAUGACUGCCCUAUGGGUUGUAAACCUCUUUUGCAGGGGGGUAAAGUGGUUCACGUGUGGACCAUUGCAAGUACCCUGCGAAUAAGGAUCGGCUAACUCCGUGCCAGCAGCCGCGGUAAUACGGAGGAUCCGAGCGUUAUCCGGAUUUAUUGGGUUUAAAGGGAGCGUAGGCGGGGGUUUAAGUCAGCUGUGAAAUGCCGUGGCCCAACCAUGUAACUGCAGUUGAAACUGGACCUCUUGAGAGUACAUAAGGAAGGCGGAAUUCGUGGUGUAGCGGUGAAAUGCAUAGAUAUCACGAAGAACUCCGAUUGCGAAGGCAGCUUUCCGGGGUACAUCUGACGCUGAAGCUCGAAAGUGCGGGAAUCAAACAGGAUUAGAUACCCGGGUAGUCC